ACACCGCUGAAGAGUCCCGCACUAGGACGAAACGGCCGUCCAGUGC
This is a non-coding RNA of Schistosoma curassoni, 46 nucleotides long. The record is from Rfam. Lineage: Eukaryota; Metazoa; Platyhelminthes; Trematoda; Strigeidida; Schistosomatidae.